This is a ribosomal RNA of 567 nucleotides. It matches the Rfam family "Bacterial large subunit ribosomal RNA", at positions 1811 to 2607 of the family's 2925-position model.
AAACAUCGCCUCUUGACACAAUAUAAGAGGCCCAGCCUGCCCGGUGACAAAGUUUAACGGCUACGGUACCCUGACCGUACAAAGGUAGCAUAAUCACUUGUUCCUUAAAUAGGGACCUGUAUCAACGGCAUCACGAGGGCUGCACUGUCUCCUCUCUUCAAUCAGUGAAACUGAUCCCCCCGUGAAGAAGCGGGGAUUAAGCCAUAAGACGAGAAGACCCCAUGGAGCUUUAAACACGUGCUCACACUAUACUUAUACGCCCCUUAACUAAAAGCCCUGAGUACAAGUUUUAGGUUGGGGAAACCGCGGAGAACAACAAAACCUCCACGACAAACGGCCCUAAGUCCUUAUCCACGAGCCACAGCUCUAAGAAUCAGUAUACUGAUGUUUAUGACCCGAUACUAUUCGAUUAACGAACCAAGUUACCCUGGGGAUAACAGCGCAAUCUACUUCAAGAGUCCAUAUCGACAAGUAGGUUUACGACCUCGAUGUUGGAUCAGGGUAUCCCUGUGGUGCAGCAGCUACUAACGGUUCGUUUGUUCAACGAUUAAAACCCUACGUGAUCUG